UUUGCUUUGGCAGUACAUACAAAAAUUGGAACUAUACAUAGAUGAUUAGCAUGGCUCCUGCACAAGGAUGACACCCAAAUUUCAUGAAUUUUUCAUAAACUAA
Molecule: small nuclear RNA, 103 nt
Filed under: Microcebus murinus (gray mouse lemur)
Lineage: Eukaryota; Metazoa; Chordata; Mammalia; Primates; Cheirogaleidae
Source: RNAcentral